AAUCCUGUGGUGAGGGCAUCUACGAAGUUACUCCUUAAAUCUUUCCCAUGCCUCAUCUAGGGAUUCAUCAUCCAUCUACUGAAAAGUGACAAUCUCAUUUCGCAACU
Gossypium hirsutum (cotton) is the source of this 107-nucleotide non-coding RNA. NCBI's taxonomy places the organism in Eukaryota, Viridiplantae, Streptophyta, Magnoliopsida, Malvales, Malvaceae. The record is from Rfam.